RNAcentral lists this microRNA precursor (67 nucleotides) under Pteropus vampyrus (large flying fox). Lineage: Eukaryota; Metazoa; Chordata; Mammalia; Chiroptera; Pteropodidae. The record is from RNAcentral.
UCGGAAGUUAAGCAUGGUCGGGCCUGGUUAAUACUCGAAUGGGAGACCAUCUAGGAAGGCCAGGUGC